RNAcentral lists this ribosomal RNA (449 nucleotides) under uncultured bacterium. Its description in RNAcentral is "partial 16S ribosomal RNA". It matches the Rfam family "Bacterial small subunit ribosomal RNA", at positions 29 to 523 of the family's 1533-position model. The record is from RNAcentral.
AACGAACGCUGGCGGCAUGCCUAACACUUGCAAGUCGAACGAGAUCUUCGGGUCUAGUGGCGCACGGGUGCGUAACGCGUGGGAAUCUGCCCUUUGGUUCGGAAUAACAGUUGGAAGCGACUGCUAAUACCGGAUGAUGACGAAAGUCCAAAGAUUUAUCGCCAGAGGAUGAGCCCGCGUAGGAUUAGCUAGUUGGUGUGGUAAAGGCGCACCAAGGCGACGAUCCUUAGCUGGUCUGAGAGGAUGAUCAGCCACACUGGGACUGAGACACGGCCCAGACUCCUACGGGAGGCAGCAGUGGGGAAUAUUGGACAAUGGGCGAAAGCCUGAUCCAGCAAUGCCGCGUGAGUGAUGAAGGCCUUAGGGUUGUAAAGCUCUUUUACCCGGGAUGAUAAUGACAGUACCGGGAGAAUAAGCUCCGGCUAACUCCGUGCCAGCCGCCGCAGUAA